This 872-nucleotide long non-coding RNA is filed under the name Physcomitrium patens. Its description in RNAcentral is "long non-coding RNA (PPAT_LNC014451)". The record is from RNAcentral. Lineage: Eukaryota; Viridiplantae; Streptophyta; Bryopsida; Funariales; Funariaceae.
AUCAAUACUGCCUUGAAUUAUAACUUACAUAUUUGUAAUCCUAAAACUAGUCCUUUUCACAUUCUCAUUCAACAUAUAAUUCUAUCUCCCAUACAAUCAAUUUCUAAUAUUUCAUAUUGUUAUAAUUUUUCAAGCAACGGCGCCAAAAUGUUGUUCUUGUUAUGUUCAAGCUUCAAUAUACCAAAUCAAUUGAAUUAAUAGAAGUAGAUUCGAACACGGGAAAAGACUGGUUAUAUGAAUUGGAUUUGUUAGUAUCACAAUUGAUUAUACUCUGGCUAUCUAAAAUCAAUUAUCAAACUACAAAACACCAAGGCUUACUACUUCCAUCUUAAUUCAACACAUAAUCCAUUCUAUGAAUAUCAAUUCAACAAUACUUCCAUAUUCUUAUCAGUUCAUCUUCCACUUACUCUCUUUGCAGUUUAUAUAUAUUUAAUUACUUAUCUCUAGCUUACUUAUUAUAUUCAGUUUCUCAAUUCAUCACACAAAAUUCAAUAUCUUCACUUAACACAACACAAUUCGAUAAUCUCAAUUCUCAAGGUCACAGAUUUUCUCCAAAACGGUCAGUUUAAAGUCAUAUUCUAUAAUAUUCUAAUUAAGGUUUCAACAAUACUUCUCUCAAUCACAAUUCUUUAUAAGAAAAUAAUAAAAGUAAAGAAAACAAAGAGGUCGCACCAAGCUCACCUCAGCUUACGACUAUCAGAGUCUGGCCGCAAUCUCCCUUUUUUCAACCUCUUUAUCCUACCAAAAGAUGGACUGUCGGCCAGCAGAUUCCAAAGGUUAUGAACCUUUGAAUUCUUAACCAUUUGUUCCACUAACAACCUAUUCUUACCAACUAAAUUGCCUAACCAUAAGUCUAAUUCUCAAGGUUAUCA